AGUGAACGCUGGCGGUAGGCCUAACACAUGCAAGUCGAACGGCAGCACAGGAGAGCUUGCUCUCUGGGUGGCGAGUGGCGGACGGGUGAGGAAUACAUCGGAAUCUACUUUUUCGUGGGGGAUAACGUAGGGAAACUUACGCUAAUACCGCAUACGACCUACGGGUGAAAGCAGGGGACCUUCGGGCCUUGCGCGAUUGAAUGAGCCGAUGUCGGAUUAGCUGGUUGGCGGGGUAAAGGCCCACCGAGGCGACGAUCCGUAGCUGGUCUGGGAGGAUGGUCAGCCACACUGGAACGGAGACACGGUCCAGACUCCUACGGGAGGCAGCAGGGGGGAAUAUUGGACAAUGGGCGCAAGCCUGAUCCAGCCAUACCGCGUGGGUGAAGAAGGCCUUCGGGUUGUAAAGCCCUUUUGUCGGGAAAGAAAUCCAGCUGGCUAAUACCCGGUUGGGAUGACGGUACCCAAAGAAUAAGCACCGGCUAACUUCGUGCCAGCCGCCGCAGUAA
RNAcentral lists this ribosomal RNA (506 nucleotides) under uncultured bacterium. RNAcentral describes it as "partial 16S ribosomal RNA". It matches the Rfam family "Bacterial small subunit ribosomal RNA", at positions 29 to 523 of the family's 1533-position model. The record is from RNAcentral.